ACUAAGCACUAUGAGCUUCCUUAGGACCUCACUAAGCUCACUAUAAGCUUAGAAUUUCCUGAAAUCCAACAAUUCACGUGUGCAUGAACAGUGAUCUCAAAAUGGGUUUCGGAUUUCACGUGAUAUCGAGGGUUCCAAGUUCUAAAAAUUGCACCAAUGAACUCACAAGCUUGCAAGGAUUCACAAACUAACCUUUUUGAUGUCGAUCUGU
Molecule: long non-coding RNA, 211 nt
Filed under: Malus domestica (apple)
Lineage: Eukaryota; Viridiplantae; Streptophyta; Magnoliopsida; Rosales; Rosaceae
Description: long non-coding RNA (MDOM_LNC021143)
Source: RNAcentral